This 3609-nucleotide long non-coding RNA is filed under the name Salmo salar (Atlantic salmon). Its description in RNAcentral is "lncRNA (ENSSSAG00000105590.1, ENSSSAG00000112151.1)". The record is from RNAcentral. Lineage: Eukaryota; Metazoa; Chordata; Actinopteri; Salmoniformes; Salmonidae.
CCGAAAAGUAGGCCUGAAUUCUGUUUGUUUCUCAAUAAUGAUGACUAUGGUGGUUUACUUCUGAACAAUGUUUCAUUUCCUCUUGCAACAUAACUAGCUGCAGCUUUAACUCAGUCAUGACACAAAUAGAAACUUAGCACCACCGCACAGAGCAGUCAAUGUUAUGAAACCAGAAAAUAUGUUUGGCAUGAGUUAAAUAGUGCAGUGAGUAAUAAUGCCGUCAUCUUCAUAUCCCAUAAGUGUCUUCCUCUUAUCUAUCAUUGAAGGAGGACACUCCUUCAAGCGAAACCGGAUUUUAGUUGGAAGAAUACUUUUUCAAAAGCUCCCAGACAUACCAUAUACAGCCUUAUUUGACUCGGGAAUAGGACAAUGAACAACAUUUGGCACAGUAAGUAACUUACUCAAGGAUUCAUGUCAACAAGACUAAGUUUGGAGAAGAGAACCACCCCAAGGUAAGGAAGCUGAUGAACUGUAUGGUUUCAAUCAGUUAAAUAUCUUAAAUUAUUGAUAUGUUAAACACUCAAAAUACAUAAAUGUCUUAAAAAUAUAUACGGUUUGUUACAUAGUUACUAAAUACUACGAGUUAAGAUGAAAUGACGCACAGUGACGCCAAACGUACAGGCAACGUACUGACGUAGGUUUGUGGGAAAUCCCUUUCCGUUUCCACACCGAAUACAAAACAUGGGGAAUACAUGCUUCAAUUCCAAAAAGAUCCCACAACAAUGUAAAGAAGACCAAUCUGGCACCAAGACAGAGGUGUAUUAUGAAAACCAUUUUCUUCCUUGGGAAUGGAACAUCACAGCCUUAAUUCAGAACAACCACGUGGAAUCAACUGUGCCUGUAAAUAGCACGGUGGUCCCAUUUCAGGCUGGGGUGGCAGCUGUGAAUAUACCUCAUCUAGGCUCCAUCUCAAUAGGAUCAUCUCCAGACUGUGUCCAGGAAGCUCUACCUCAUACCGACGGCUCUUCCUCACAGCAUUCACCUCAACACCAGAUUCUGCAAUGAUGCAGCCAUAACAUCAGGUAUGAAGAGCUCCAGGAGCCUUGGAAGAAGAGAUUAAGUGAAGGAAGUGGCUGCUUUUGAAACAAUUUCUGCUGCUAUUUUCUGUUGUUUUUAAGAUGUAUGUAUGUAUGUAUGUAUGUAUGUAUGUAUGUAUGUAUGUAUGUAUGUAUGUAUGUAUGUAUGUAUGUAUGUAUGUAGCUAGGCCAUGUAUGUUUUUGUAUUUAAAUAAAUAUAUGUUAUUACUUGUGCAUUGAGAUAGCAUUUAUGUUCCAAUCAAAAUCAUAAAAACACCAAGAGUGCUUUGGUGGUUCCACUCUAGUUGCAGAUAGUUUUUUCUGAUAUAUUAGUUAUCCUUCAAAAUGCUUUACAUUUGAGCAUGAACGGUGCAGCAUUUGCGUGAAUGCAGUGCAUCGAUCUAGCCAUAAUAUUAUCGCCUUGAUCACACUGACAGCGUCAUUGCCAGGAUGACCAGAGGAGGGUGACGUGUGGUCCCAACAGAUCAAACGAUCGCGGACAGCAGACGGAACAUACAGACGCCCAACUGGACACUGGGUGGGAGUGGGCUCUGUACGUAACGCCCGCUCGAUGUCCGCGUUUACCUCCCAUACCACCGGUGCCACCAGGCAAGAAGCCGGAAGUAUGGGAGUGGGAUCCGUGGACCGCUCCUCUGUGUCAUACAUCCGGGACAGUGCGUCUGCCUUAGCGUUCUGGGAACCUGGUCUGUAGGAUAGGGUGAAAACAAAACAGGUGAAAAACAUGGCCCACCUUGCCUGGCGAGGGUUCAGUCUCCUCGUCACCCGGAUGUACUCCAGAUUGCAGUGGUCAGUCCAGAUGAGGAAAGGGUGUUUAGCCCCCUCAAGCCAAUGUCUCCACGCCUUCAGAGCCUUCAGAGCCCCACAUCAUAGUUUCGCUCCGCCGGGCUGAGUUUCUUCGAAAAGAAAGCACAGGGGCGGAGCUUUGGUGGCGUACCUGAGCACCGAGACAGCACAGCUCCUAUCCCAGCCUCAGACGCGUCCACCUCUACUAUAAAUGCCAAGGAGGGAUCAGGAUGAGCCAGCACGGGAGCCGAGGUAAACAGAGCCUUCAGGUGACCAAAAGCCCUGUCCGCCCCAGCUGACCACUGCAGUCGCACCAGUCCCCCCUUCAACAAGGAGGUAAUGGGAGCCGCUACCUGACCAAAGCCUCAGAUAAACCUCCGGUAGUAGUUGGCAAACCCUAAGAACCGCUGCACCUCCUUUACCGUGGUUGGAGUCGGCCAAUUACGCACGGCUGCAAUGCGGUCAUGUUCCAUCUCCACUCCUGACGCGGAAAGGCGGUACCCUAGGAAGGAGACGGACUGUUGGAAGAACAGACAUUUCUCAGCCUUGACGUACAGGUCAUGCUCCAACAGUCGACCAAGCACCCUGCACACCAGGGACACAUGCUCGGCGCGUGUAGCGGGGUACAUUAGAAUGUCAUCUAUAUACACCACUACGCCCUGCCCGUGCAGGUCCCUGAAAAUCUCAUCUACAAAGGAUUGGAAUACUGAUGGAGCAUUCAUCAACCCGUACGGUAUGACGAGGUACUCAUAGUGCCCAGAGGUGGUACUAAAUGCCGUCUUCCACUCAUCCCCUUCCCGGAUAAACACCAGGUUGUAAGCGCUCCUGAGAUCCAAUUUUGUGAAGAAGCGCGCCCCGUGCAAUGUCUGUCACACUGGCUAUGAGUGGCAGCGGGUAACUGUACUUCACCGUGAUCUGAUUUAUACCUCGAUAGUCAAUACACGGGCGUAAACCUUCAUCUAUCUUCUUCACAAAAAAUAAACUUGAGGAGGCAGGUGAAGUGGAAGGCCGAAUGUAUCCCUGUCCUAGAGAUUCGGAGACAUAUGUUUCCAUAGCCACCGUCUCCUCCUGUGACAGAGGAUACACGUGACUCCUGGGAAGUGCUGCGUCUACCAGGAGAUUUAUCGCACAAUGCCCCCGUCGAUGGGGUGGUAGUUGAGUCUUCUUACAGAAGGCGAGAGCCAAAUCGGCAUAUUCAGGGGGGAUGUGCAUGGUGGAGACCUGGUUUGGACUCUCCACUGUAGUUGCACCUAUGGCAACACCUACGGUACACACCUCCCUGAGCACUAACGUGACCAUCCCUUGAGAGGCCUCUGUUGCUACGAAAUAUUGGGGUCAUGAUAGGUCAACCAGGGAAGGCCCAACACCACAGGAAACGCAGGAGAAUCGAUCAGGAAGAGACUAAUUCUCUCCUCAUGACCCUCCUGCGUUAUCAUACAUAGGGGAGCUGUGACCUCCCUAAUCAGCCCCGACCCUAACGGACGACUAUCUAAGGCAUGUACAGGGAAGGGCACAUCAUCAGGAACAAUAGGGAUCCCUAAUCUAAGUGCAAAUGAACGGUCAAUAAAGUUCCCAACUGCACCUGAAUCUACUAGCGCUUUAUGCUGGGAAUGCAGGGAAAACUCAGGAAAUUCUAUACACACACGUGCGCAACAGGAAGCUCUGGGUGAGUCGGGUGCCUACUCACCUGGGAUGAUCCACCAGUGCCCUGCCUGCUGCCUCGACUCCCUGGGGAACCUCCCCAGCACCGAUCAGCAGUGUGCCCUCUGUGGCCACAUGUGGUGCAGGA